AACGAACGCUGGCGGCAGGCCUAACACAUGCAAGUCGAGCGAGCAUUUCGGUGCUAGCGGCGGACGGGUGAGUAACGCGUGGGAACGUGCCCUUUUCUGCGGAGUAGUCCUGGGAAACUGGGGGUAAUACCGCAUACGCCCUUAUGGGGAAAGAUUUAUCGGGGAAGGAUCGGCCCGUGUUGGAUUAGGUAGUUGGUGGGGUAAUGGCCCACCAAGCCGACGAUCCAUAGCUGGUUGGAGAGGAUGAUCAGCCACGCUGGGACUGCGACACGGACCAGACUCCGACGGGAGGCAGCGGUGGGGAAUCUUAUACGAUGGGGGCUACCGUGAUCACGCCACGCGGCGUGAGUGAGGCAGGCCUUAGGGUUGCAAAGCUCUUUCAGAUGGGAAGAUAAUGACGGUACUGGGAGAAGAAGCCCCGGCUAACUCCGUG
Molecule: ribosomal RNA, 433 nt
Filed under: uncultured bacterium
Lineage: Bacteria
Description: partial 16S ribosomal RNA
Rfam family: Bacterial small subunit ribosomal RNA
Source: RNAcentral